GUCCACCUACCAGUAGCUCACAGUCCACCUACCAGUAGCUCACAGUCCACCUACCAGUAGCUCACAGUCCACCUACCUUCAUGAACCAACAUCCAUGAGGAACGUUUUUGACUUGAAGAAUCCAUUCCCCAAAGACUUCAGGCUGUUCUGGAGACAAAGGGGUGUCCGAUCCGGUACUAGAUGGGUGUACCUAAUAAACUGUCUGGUGAAUGUAUAAUCAGGGUCAUGGUGUUCUUUCCUGUCUGUAAAAUCUAGCGCAGCCUAAGAAAAAGUCCAGGGAAAAAACCCUUUGUGAAAGUGAAAUCACUGUAGCUUUGUCCUCCCUCAGUGCCCAUAUUAGGACUGUCGGGGAUCUGUCCGAGAGAGAGAGAGAGAGAAGGUGUUGCAUUCUUCAAGUAGGUUCGGGGUUGUGAAAGGGGGUAUCCACUGUCCACCCAAUCUCUUCUCCCCCAGUUAUUUUCUGGGACACUGCACAAUACAACUUUAUUUGAUGGCAGAACAUUCAGAAGCUGUAAGUUUGACACAUGGCAAAAUGCUUCUGCUGUUUCUGAGUCUCGGUUUGUUCACUUCUAAUGUCCAGUCAGAAAAACAAGGGGUUAAUGUAACGUGUGAAAAUCAAUCGGUUGUAGCAGGACAGAACCACAACCUGACAUGUAGAGUGGAUUACAGUGAUGUAGGUCAGAAUAAUCUGGGAUGUAAAACUACAAAUUGUUUCUGGAAACAUAAAUCAAAAUCUCCAAUACGAAAUUGUGAUUGUACAAAUGAUUGUAACACUACGAUAACAACCAACACCUACUUUUGUGAGAUCAAAAAUGUUACCAAAGCUGAUGAGGGAAACUACACUUUUACCAUUAACACAGACUGUGGCAACGGACAUGGCACAUUGAAUGUUUCCGUUACAGUGAGCAAUGAAAAACAAGCGUUUCUGGGAUCGUCAGGUCACCUAUCGUCAGUAUCAUCACUGUUCUGGGUUUUCUACUGUUUCUCAUCUUAAGACUUAAUAGUUCCUUGAGAAACAAUGACAAAGCUACCAGAGAGGCCCUAAACCAGAAGCCUGCAUAACUUUCAGUCUGGAGGAGCUGUGUGUGUUGGUUCUACUAUCCUUGUGGGGACAGAAAUAUCUCAUUUACAUAAGUAGUCAAACUCCUAAGUCAAUAAAUACUUUGUGGAAGCUCCUUCUGCAUUGAUUACCGCUG
Molecule: long non-coding RNA, 1196 nt
Organism: Oncorhynchus tshawytscha (Chinook salmon)
Lineage: Eukaryota; Metazoa; Chordata; Actinopteri; Salmoniformes; Salmonidae
Exons: 4
Source: RefSeq, a predicted model, not a curated record